GGGGAUUUAGCUCAGUGGUAGAGCGCCUGCCUAUCAAGCACAACGCCCUGGGUUCAGUCCCCAGCUCCG
Molecule: non-coding RNA, 69 nt
Organism: Rattus norvegicus (Norway rat)
Lineage: Eukaryota; Metazoa; Chordata; Mammalia; Rodentia; Muridae
Source: Rfam